Molecule: non-coding RNA, 88 nt
Organism: Cubamyces lactineus
Lineage: Eukaryota; Fungi; Basidiomycota; Agaricomycetes; Polyporales; Polyporaceae
Source: the annotation of a GenBank genome assembly
GGCCUGGUGGUCUAGUAGUAUGAUUCCUUCUUAGGGCGUCCGUAGUCACAAUUGGAGGAGGUCCCGGGUUCAAUUCCCGGCCAGGCCC